RNAcentral lists this transfer RNA (38 nucleotides) under Haringtonhippus francisci. Its description in RNAcentral is "partial tRNA-Leu". Lineage: Eukaryota; Metazoa; Chordata; Mammalia; Perissodactyla; Equidae. The record is from RNAcentral.
AACCUUUAUACCCAGAGGUUCAACUCCUCUCCCUAACA